Molecule: unclassified non-coding RNA, 270 nt
Filed under: uncultured Sordariomycetes
Lineage: Eukaryota; Fungi; Ascomycota; Sordariomycetes
Description: sequence contains 5.8S rRNA gene, ITS2, 28S rRNA gene
Rfam family: 5.8S ribosomal RNA (bases 1-52)
Source: RNAcentral
AACGCACAUUGCGCCCGCUGGUAUUCCGGCGGGCAUGCCUGUUCGAGCGUCAUUUCAACCCUCAAGCUCUCCGGAGUUUGGUGUUGGGGCGCCUGGGGCUUUUCGACCUCAGGGCCCUCAAGUCCAUCGGCGGGACCGCCCGGACACUGAGCGCAGUAGUACUAUUUCGCUCGGUGGAAUCUUCCAGGGCGGGUUGACCCGGCCGCUAAACUCCCCCAAUUCUAACCAAAGGUUGACCUCGGAUCAGGUAGGAAUACCCGCUGAACUUAA